RNAcentral lists this long non-coding RNA (1069 nucleotides) under Oryza sativa (Asian cultivated rice). RNAcentral describes it as "long non-coding RNA (OSAT_LNC000729)". The record is from RNAcentral. Lineage: Eukaryota; Viridiplantae; Streptophyta; Magnoliopsida; Poales; Poaceae.
AAGGUAAAAGGUGGCGAUGCGCCGAAUUAUAUUGAUCGUGAAGAUAGAUUACAUAGACCCUGGGUGUACAUAUUUAUACCCAUGGGUUGAUACAAGUCCUUAUCAGACAAGAAAGAAACUUUCCUAAAGAUAAAAGGAAAAGAUAAAGUCCUUAUCGGACACUAAACACACUUUCCUAAAGAUAAAAGGAAACUAACAAACUAUUCCUAAUUAAUGGAUAACUUGCCAUGCCGCAUUCUCUUUGAACUCGGUCUCUUCUGGAUAAGAUUCCUUUAGUAGAUCAAUUUCCUUAACCGAAUAUAGCAAGAAUCCGACAACUGACGACUUGACAAAUCUCAUCGGCUAAUUUCAGGACUUCAAAGCCGAUGCUGACUCUAAGCCGAUGACUACUCCGGGCUUACCAAAUUUCACUGUUAACAGCGCGUUAGCUGUCCCCCUAGAUUUCUCCUAUCUUAUAAACCGAUUUCAGGGUCAGAUCCCAGGCUUCUAAUUGGGCCACAUGGCAUCUCUUGUGGAGCUCUCCUCCUGAUUCUUGGUUGUAGAAAGUGCCACGUAUACGCACCUAUCCACAGCCGUUAGAUGACGUAUCGAUGGUGAAAAACCGUCCUGUGGACCUAAAUGUAAAUUACAAGUUAUGAGAGGGGUUUUUGUACAAACGUGCGAUCUCAUCUAGAAAAGUUCGAAGUAUUGGAGAAAAAAAUCCCAGAAAACAAUUGCAAGAAAAAAUAGAUUAAUAUCUCCAUCUCCCUACUCACAGUGCCGCAGGCUGCCGCCGGCACGGUGUCACCUGUUUUGGGCGAUGAGGAGAAGGAGGGGGCGAUGGCUGCUCGAUCUACGCGGCCGGAUCCACGGACACACUAUACAGGUACACAAGAACAUCAAGAAUGCAUUAGCAGCACCAACCAGCACGUAUCUUCAGCAACAGAAGGCAAGCAUCUUCGGGAGUGGAUCUGUGGAGGGACAAGAGAAUACAGCCGAGUCGGGAGAUGCACGGGCGCAGUCGGCACUCGUGCGGGGAAGCCGGGGAUGCGCCGGCGACGGUCACCUCCUCGGUCCAGGUCUCCGUCGG